This 223-nucleotide ribosomal RNA is filed under the name uncultured bacterium. RNAcentral's name for it is "partial 16S ribosomal RNA". It matches the Rfam family "Bacterial small subunit ribosomal RNA", at positions 28 to 253 of the family's 1533-position model. The record is from RNAcentral.
GACGAACGCUGGCGGCGUGCUUAACACAUGCAAGUCGAGCGGUAAGGCCCUUCGGGUACGACGAGCGGCGAACGGGUGAGUAACACGUGGGUGACCUGCCCUCAGCUCUGGGAGUAAGCCCGGGAAACCUGGGUCUAAUACCGGAUAUGACCUUCUGUCGCAUGACGGUUGGUGGAAAGUUCUUCGGCUGGGGAGUGGGCCCGCGGCCUAUCAGCUUGUUGGU